CGGACGCUGUUCUUCCAGGAAGAGCUGCAGAGACCCUGGGAACAGGACCAGCCCAGCUCGCAAGUAUGAAGAGAAUGUCGGGAGAGGAAGUGGUGGUUGUGAGUCAGCAUGAGUCAUCUUGUCCCAAUGAGAAUGAAGACUGAGGUGUGCGCCUUUUCCCCCUUCUAGUUUUUUUUUUUCUUGGUCUCAGUUGUGUGGACAUCAUUGGGAAUGGAGGGAAAUUAGUGACGGGGUGACUGUUGCUUUUUAAGUCUCCAGCUGAUGCUCCAGGCGAGCCGUGCCUGAGUCAGUGUCCGACUUCACAGCACAGUUCCUGGACCGUGCAGCCUUCAGCUUCUCCCCGAAUAACUGGGAGAUGAAACAGGAAGCUCGAUGACACACUUGAUCGAAAAUGACACAGACACACAAAAGCAGGACUCGGCCCCCACCCGCACCUCUGUCUGCUGCCCACUGCCCGCAGUCGGAAUGCAGGGAAAGGCUUUGCCCCGGGACCCGGUCCUGACAGUGGUGGACAAGCAGGUGGACAAGCAUUACCCCAGUCGCCGAAAUCCUCACCCCAUUUCCUUGCUGAGCCUCGUUACACAUGGACCCUCACUCCAUUUCCCUCAUGGCAGCUUCUGAGAUACUGAAAUGGAAAGACAGAGACAGCUGAAGUCUGGCAGCAAAAAGUGACUCUGAAGACAUCUCUGUGAUAGCCGAGGACUUACCUUUCUUUCUCUGGACAGGUGGCUGUGAGUUGGUUGCCAGCAGCUCAGCCUGAAGGAGUCCGCUCAGCAGUGCAGGUGACUGAAGUCCUGGGAAUGGCACUACUGACCAGCUCCCUGGCCUCCAUCUCAAGGACCGGAGUAUGAGGCACAGUUAGAGGCCCUGGGCCACUUGUCCACUUCUAGAUCAGAUGGCUCAACUACACGGUGUGGGCUGGGCCUGGAAGGAUUCUGGUGCCAGCAGAUGGGCGGAUCCUGGCUUCCCUACACCCUGCUUUUCACCUGUCUCUCUACAUCUAGUGCUCAUUCUAAGGCAAAGCACACGGCAGCUGGAUGCUCACUGAACUGGUGGCCCUGCUCCAAGGACUGAGCCUCAAACAGGGACAUUGGAAGGACCUGCUGGGCAGAAUUGUUGUGAGUAAA
Molecule: long non-coding RNA, 1127 nt
Organism: Condylura cristata (star-nosed mole)
Lineage: Eukaryota; Metazoa; Chordata; Mammalia; Eulipotyphla; Talpidae
Exons: 4
Source: RefSeq, a predicted model, not a curated record